AUGGGAACGCGAAGAACCUUACCUAGACUUGACAUCUCCUGAAUAGUGUAGAGAUACAUGAAGCCCUUCGGGGCAGGAAGACAGGUGGUGCAUGGUUGUCGUCAGCUCGUGUCGUGAGAUGUUGGGUUAAGUCCCGCAACGAGCGCAACCCUUAUUACUAGUUGCUACCAUUUAGUUGAGCACUCUAGUGAGACUGCCCGGGUUAACCGGGAGGAAGGCGGGGAUGACGUCAAAUCAUCAUGCCCCUUAUGUCUAGGGCUACACACGUGCUACAAUGGUGAGAACAACGAGAUGCAAUACCGCGAGGUGGAGCAAAACUUCAAAACUCAUCUCAGUUCGGAUUGUAGGCUGAAACUCGCCUACAUGAAGUUGGAGUUGCUAGUAAUCGCGAAUCAGAAUGUCGCGGUGAAUACGUUCCCGGGUCUUGUACACACCG
This 436-nucleotide ribosomal RNA is filed under the name uncultured bacterium. RNAcentral's name for it is "bacterial SSU rRNA". It matches the Rfam family "Bacterial small subunit ribosomal RNA", at positions 954 to 1392 of the family's 1533-position model. The record is from RNAcentral.